Molecule: ribosomal RNA, 235 nt
Filed under: uncultured bacterium
Lineage: Bacteria
Description: partial 16S ribosomal RNA
Rfam family: Bacterial small subunit ribosomal RNA
Source: RNAcentral
UGGCGGACGGGUGAGUAAUGUCUGGGAAACUGCCCGAUGGAGGGGGAUAACUACUGGAAACGGUAGCUAAUACCGCAUAACGUCGCGAGACCAAAGAGGGGGACCUUAGGGCCUCUUGCCAUCGGAUGUGCCCAGAUGGGAUUAGCUAGUAGGCGGGGUAAAGGCUCACCUAGGCGACGAUCCCUAGCUGGUCUGAGAGGAUGACCAGCCACACUGGAACUGAGACACGGUCCAG